AUUGAACGCUGGCGGCAUGCUUUACACAUGCAAGUCGAACGGCAGCGCGGGGCAACCUGGCGGCGAGUGGCGAACGGGGGAGUAAUACAUCGGAACGUACCCAGAAGUGGGGGAUAACGUAGCGAAAGUUACGCUAAUACCGCAUACGUUCUACGGAAGAAAGUGGGGGACCUUCGGGCCUCAUGCUUUUGGAGCGGCCGAUGUCUGAUUAGCUAGUUGGUGAGGUAAAGGCUCACCAAGGCGACGAUCAGUAGCUGGUCUGAGAGGACGACCAGCCACACUGGGACUGAGACACGGCCCAGACUCCUACGGGAGGCCGCAGUGGGGAAUUUUGGACAAUGGGCGCAAGCCUGAUCCAGCAAUGCCGCGUGAGUGAAGAAGGCCUUCGGGUUGUAGAGCUCUUUUGUCAGGGAAGAAACGGCUGAGGAUAAUACCUUCGGCUAAUGACGGUACCUGAAGAAUAAGCACCGGCUAACUACGUG
This 482-nucleotide ribosomal RNA is filed under the name uncultured bacterium. RNAcentral's name for it is "partial 16S ribosomal RNA". It matches the Rfam family "Bacterial small subunit ribosomal RNA", at positions 30 to 507 of the family's 1533-position model. The record is from RNAcentral.